RNAcentral lists this RNase P RNA (299 nucleotides) under bovine gut metagenome. RNAcentral's name for it is "Bacterial RNase P class A". It matches the Rfam family "Bacterial RNase P class A", at positions 43 to 362 of the family's 367-position model. From Rfam's summary of the family: Ribonuclease P (RNase P) is a ubiquitous endoribonuclease, found in archaea, bacteria and eukarya as well as chloroplasts and mitochondria. Its best characterised activity is the generation of mature 5'-ends of tRNAs by cleaving the 5'-leader elements of precursor-tRNAs. The record is from RNAcentral.
GAGGAAAGUCCGGGCUCCACAGGGCAAGGAUAACGGGUAACGCCCGCCGAAGGCGACUUCAGGAAAAGUGCAACAGAGAGAUACCGCCCCGCGCAAGCGGAGCAAGGGUGGAAAAGUGAGGUAAGAGCUCACUCGCCGGCUGGAGACUGUCCGGCGCUGUAAACUCUAUCCGGAGCAACACCGUGGAGGAGACACAUGGCUGGCCCGGCCGUCUCCGGGAGGUGGCAUGGAGCGUGCCGGCAACGGUACGACAAGAUAGAUGGCUGUCCAAGACAGAACCCGGCUUACAGACCCGAUUG